This 780-nucleotide ribosomal RNA is filed under the name Alnicola badiofusca. RNAcentral's name for it is "eukaryotic LSU rRNA". The stretch from base 233 to 386 matches the Rfam family "5.8S ribosomal RNA". The record is from RNAcentral. Lineage: Eukaryota; Fungi; Basidiomycota; Agaricomycetes; Agaricales; Hymenogastraceae.
CUUGGUGUGGUUGUUGCUGGCCCUCUCGGGGGCAUGUGCACACCCACCAUCCUCAUCUCUCCACCUGUGCACCUCUUGUAGACCUGGAUUGACUUUCCGAGGCAACUCGGUCGGGAAGAUUGCUGCGCUCUGUGAGCCAGCUUUCUUUGCAUGUCCAGGCCUAUGUUUUUCAUAUACCCCUAUAGAAUGUAACAGAAUGUAUCAUUGGGCCUUGUGCCUAUAAACCUUAUACAACUUUCAGCAACGGAUCUCUUGGCUCUCGCAUCGAUGAAGAACGCAGCGAAAUGCGAUAAGUAAUGUGAAUUGCAGAAUUCAGUGAAUCAUCGAAUCUUUGAACGCACCUUGCGCUCCUUGGUAUUCCGAGGAGCAUGCCUGUUUGAGUGUCAUUAAAUUCUCAACCUUAUUAACUUUUGUUGAUAAUGGAUUGGAUUGUGGGGGUUUCUUUUGCUGGCUUCUUCACAGAGAUCAGCUCCCCUUAAAUGCAUUAGCUGGUGCCCCGCGUGGACCAUCUAUUGGUGUGAUAAUUAUCUACGCCGUGGAUGUCUGCAAUCAUAUGGGUUUCGCACUGCUUCUAACCGUCUGUUCAUUCGGACAAUACAUGACAAUUUGACCUCAAAUCAGGUAGGACUACCCGCUGAACUUAAGCAUAUCAAUAAGCGGAGGAAAAGAAACUAACAAGGAUUCCCCUAGUAACUGCGAGUGAAGCGGGAAAAGCUCAAAUUUAAAAUCUGGCGGUCUCCGGCCGUCCGAGUUGUAUCUAGAGAAGUGUAUCCGCGCUGA